Molecule: long non-coding RNA, 359 nt
Filed under: Callithrix jacchus (white-tufted-ear marmoset)
Lineage: Eukaryota; Metazoa; Chordata; Mammalia; Primates; Cebidae
Description: lncRNA (ENSCJAG00000070230.1)
Source: RNAcentral
CUUUAAAUCACAUCUAUAAUAUGGUCAGAUAAAUAAUUAAUGGAUACAUUAAAUUAACAAAAUCAUUAUUUUCUCUUUGUAUGCAGAGUUAUGAGCAUCUACUGCCCUACAAUUCUUACAAUGGAUGCUUGGAAAUGAAAAGAAUUGUGGUCUUUACCUUUUAGAAUGUCACUUUGAUGAAAACGUCUAUGGAAGAUACAUACAGUCUUUCAUCCCAAUACCUAGAAAAUUAGAAGUCCGGGGAAGACUCAAGAUGGCGCUGUGAGAACAACCCAGGAUUGGAUCUCGCGUUGAAUCCGCAAACGGUGAGUCAGAGCUGCAUUUCCAGACUGAUCUUUGUUGCCCACAGGACGGGGAAA